UUCAAAUGGGGCUCUGCGUGGCGUUAAAUUUGUUACUGUAUGUGCUUGCGCACAACUAAUAUAACUAAACCAUGUAUUUUCUUUUCAAUGUGAACAUGAAUUUAGCAUGUCUUUGCGCCAUUUGGCACCACGGGUUUUGAAGCACAUAUCGAAUAUUUUCAAGCACAUAACCAUAUUUUCAAUAUAGCAUGGUUUAACACAUGAGCUUUCUACUACCAAUAUCGAAUAUGUCCUUGCAAAAUGGAACUAUUUUCAUCGACAACAUGACUUUAGCGGGUCUCUGCGCCAUUUGGCGCAACGUGUCAACUAGUACUGUAUAAUCGACUACCUAGCUAAUGAUGAUUGCCUACCUUUAGGCUUUGCCUUUUACCUUCAGCUCACACCACGAUUACCUGCAAAAUAGUAGAUAUGCAUUUCAGUGCUAAGGCGAAGACAAAGAAAAGAAAAAUGAAAGAAGAAGAAGAAGAGAAAGAAAAGGAGAUAGCUACAAUCCAAGGAAGAAACGCCUAAUAGCCCACUCAAAGUGAAAUAAGAGGUAGAAAUGACUGACAGAAUCUGAGCUAAAACAAUCCAGAUCAGACCCACACAGUGCAGUCCCACACCCCAACCAAAUCAACUCACUCUUUACUUUUGUAAGCCACGCAAAAUCAUGUUCUAAAGGCGAACAAGUUACAGAAACAAACCUAUAGUUAAAUUCAGUGACUAAAACCUAUAGCCGAAAAAGGAAAUAAUCCUCAAUGCAAAGGUAAUAUCAUUUAUCUAUUGCCAUUCACCCUAUCCAUUUAAAAACAUUAGAUUGCAUAUGAUUUAUAAUCUGAACAUAACCAGUUUCCGGUCACAUGGGAUGAUCUUUUUAACUGAACUGAACUUCCAAAGCUAUGCCAACGAUUAAAUAUGACAUUAGUGUAAAAUAUGGUAACGGUGUGGUUUAUUUGGGUCAAAAAAGGCAAACCAAAAAUGUAGGAAGAGCUAAUUAAGGAUAUAUAUUUUGUCCCCUAACACUAAAAAUCGAGGAAUUUAGAGAACUUCACUUAUCACUGAUGCAAAAGUCAAGUAGGAUUACAAUCUAGAAGUCAUGGCACGAAACUGAAAAGCCAUCCAUACCAGGCAUAGGUGAGUUCAGGGCACUUGGCCACGGUCGGCAUAACAUUUUCCUCAGCGCAAGGAUACAAUUCUCCUGGUGUAGUAGCUACAUGAAGUGAAACUGUCCUGGCAAAACAAUGUCAAAUCUUAAGACCAAAUGUAAUGAAAAAUGUAAAUAUACAUUGCAAAACUGGUCUGCCUUUUUAGAUACUAAAAAAAUUUGAUAGCAUGUCAGGCCACUAUAAGACUAAUAAAAAGUACCCUUUUCAUUCACAUCCAUAUCGUUCUUGGGGUUUCACUGCAGCAAGAUUUAUCCAAAAAUCAGUGAUAGAAAGGAACUGACAUUAUGGUGCAUCAUGCAUCAUAAUGGCUACCAGAACCAUGUCAAUGCAUUGCCAAGAAUUACAUAGAACUCAAUUCAUGGAAAGGGCAUACAAGCUCAACAUGUCAAUACUGUGAAACAUGGAAGUCAGAACAAAUUAUAGCACUAAAACAAUCUGUAAUUACACAUCACGAUGGUAUAGUUGUUAUUGCAUAAGUUGAGAUAAUCACUAUAGAGAGCCUAACUGAAACUGAAAAUAACUGGAGAAUUUAGUAAACAACACAACACUGCAGAGUAUCCAAAUAAUGAUAAAUUUCAAGUGUAAGGAUCUUAACCUAGUACUCAUUUUUAACCAGAGGAAUACCCCAUAUACAUAUUUUACAAAAUAACAAAGAGCACAUGAGUACCUUAACUUCCAAAAGAUCCCAAUAUUUGGAACCUAGCUAAACCCUUCUCUCUCUCCCAUCGAAUCCAAGCAAGGCAGCAUAAAGGCCACAGAAAAGUGGCCAUCUUUGGAACCUAGCCAGACCAUCGACCCAAAAAAAUCCUAAUACUUGGAAUCUAGCCAAACCUGAGUGCACAAAAGGCUCUGUGGCCAUCUUUGGAACCUAGCCAGACCUGAGAGAAAUCCUAAUACUUGGAACCUAGCCAAACCUGAGAGCACAAAAGGCCCCCAUCUUUGGAAUAUGGUCCGAAUCCAACAGCAUCUACAGAUAGAGAAGACAAAUAACCUACAAGCCCAGGCCUACAAACAAACAUGAACAGAUAAAGUAGAGAGAGGCCUACGAACAAACAAGAUCAGAGAGGGAGAGGUGGUGAGGAGUGGAGGCACCAAAUCAAAACAUGGAGGAAACGAAGUGUAAACGGCAGCUCGGAUCUAUGGCUUGGCGUCGCCAGAAGCCGCGACGGUCCCCCUGCCAAGCGGUCCCCUGAGGCCCUGCCACCGCAUCCGAUGCUGACGACGCCGUUGCGGCUGCCCGAACAUGGGCCUCCAGGCCAGCAGCAUUGCGGCGCGGCGCAACACCGGCGGGAGGGCUCGCUCCGCGAUGAGGAGGGAUCCGCCGUUGCCACCGCUCAGGAGCACGGGUCUGCGCCAAGGUCCAGGCCUCCUCAUCGAGUGGCCGUGGUCCUGGUGGCGCCGUCAUCGGCCACGGCGAGUGGGACGGGCAGGGCAGGGCAGCGCGGAAGGACGGGCAGGUCGGCGGGGCGAGCGGCUGGGAAGGGGAGAGAGCGACAAUGAAGGACGCGGAUGGGGAGGCGGCUAGGGUUCUACCACCGGGUUGCACAGGGCUGCUAAGAUUUAUACCCAAAAGUGAAAUGACUAAAAUGCCCUUGGUGGGGCACCGAAUUCACACGUGUGGCACGAGAUAUUUCAUCGCGGGAGUAACUAUUCGUUGCUACAGGAGCUCGAGUUCGAUCCAGCGGCCGACGUCCUCAAGCGCCUUGAUCCAACGGCCGGAAACGCAUCAAGUUAACACAAUGGAUGGCCAGAUCUUCCAAACCGCUGAGAGCGCUUGUAGUCUACUUCGGGUCUUGUUUAUGGAUAGACGUAAAGUUUGCUGACAUGGCACCGUAUUUGCCUAGCAUAGCAUGGGGGUCCACUUGUAGAAAUAAAACAGGAUUUCAGUUGAAUAUAUAUCCCUAGGACUAGUGAGCCCCGCAUGUCAGUUCGUAAGGAAAGUUGAGAACAAUUGAAAGGAAAAUUUGGUGCGGACAGGGUCGAAUGUGCACCUAAGAGUGCGUGCGAGCUGAACAGAGCUAAGCGGUGGAUACUAAGUCAUGUGCAGUGCGUCAAGCAGGCAAAAUGAGGGGGGAUGGUGAUGGGCUCACCAUGCGGGCCGAGGCUCAACGCGGUGGAGAGGCAGGUCGGUCUGGCGAGCGAGCUGGGGUAGGCUGGGCCUUGAGGAGGCACGGGGCCUAGGCGGCGAACGCGAGCAACGGCUCGGUUGGAUCCAAGCAGAGGAGGCAGCGGGAUGCAGGGGAACUUGGCGCGACAACGCGAUGGAAAGGACGUGGUGGACGAGGGUCGGCUUCUUGGCGACUCCGUCGAGGCAAAGAGGCAUGGGACGAACAUGGGGAAGAUGGAUCCGUCCUUUUCCGACCGGAUCGGGUGCAAAACAACACCGAAGAAGCUCCUUCAGGCGGCCAUGGCGGGCUCCUGGUUCCCUGGGGAAGACGACGACGCGAGAGCGAGGUGAGAGAGGUCCCUGGGAGGAGGGGGAAGAUGAGGUAGGACGGCGACCUGGCGGCGUGCUCUGGCGAGGCGGCUCGUUGGCGACGAGGCGAGGAGGAGGUACGGCGAGGUCGCGGAGCUCGGGAUCGAGCUCUUCUCGAUCUGGAUCGAGGAGGGAGCGGGAGACGCUCGUCUGUGGGGCUCGGGCGCUGGGCGCGUGGAGCUCGGGGCAUGUUGGAUCUCACUGUCCGAGGAUGGAGAAGGCAACUAAGGCUGGAUUGCAUCUGGCUGGUGGUUGGCGCGGAUGGGGAUCAAGAGGUGGCGGUUGUGGUUGGUGGAGGGAGCUGCGGGAUCGACUGGAUGUAUGGAUCAGGCAGGAUCCCGAGGAAGCGGGAGACCAGGUGGUUGUGUGGUGGCGGGAUGGAAUGGAUGGAUGCGACAUGCUAGUCUAGGGUUACCCGGUAUAUAGCAAGUGGACUAGGUUCAAGGCUAACUGGAUCUUCGAUUUAGAUCGAACGAUCGAGAUAAAAAGGUAGGGGAGUCUAAUGAAGAAACGAAAGAUGUUUAGGGAUGUUCAGGGUUGACCCGGACCCACCGGUCACGAUUGCCCAGUUCGGAUCCAGGGAAAAUUUUCGAGCUAGGGCUAGGUUGCGAGUGGGGCUGUGAGAGGCUUAGUUUUAAGAUGGCAACGAUGUGCCAAUGCAAUGCAAAUGAUGCCAUGAUGAAUGCAACAAGCAAAAUAAUUAGGGAGGCUAGGACAAAGUCGGGGGAGGAUUGGGACAUUUCCAUUUUUCUUUGUC
Molecule: long non-coding RNA, 4378 nt
Filed under: Triticum aestivum (bread wheat)
Lineage: Eukaryota; Viridiplantae; Streptophyta; Magnoliopsida; Poales; Poaceae
Description: long non-coding RNA (TAES_LNC013660)
Source: RNAcentral